Molecule: long non-coding RNA, 1378 nt
Filed under: Homo sapiens (human)
Lineage: Eukaryota; Metazoa; Chordata; Mammalia; Primates; Hominidae
Description: long non-coding RNA NONHSAT165290.1
Source: RNAcentral
AAAAAAUAUACAGAAAUUAGCCAGGUGUGGUGGUGUGUACCUGUAAUGCUGGCUACUUGGGAGUCUGAGGCAUGACAAUCACUUGAACCCAGGAGGUGGAUGUUGCAGUGAGCCCAGACUGCACCAUGGCACUCCAGCCUGGAUGACAGAACAAGACUCUGUCUCAGAAGAAAGGGACACCAGCUCUAAGCAGCUGAUUUGCUUAUACCAGGUAUCCAGCAAAUAUCUGCCCUACAGACCAGAACAGUAUGAGAGGUCUCAAUUCUGGAAAGAUAUUGCUGGAGUUGGCAUUGGAAGCAGAGAAGGCUAAUUGUCUUCCUGUGUCAAUUCCCAGGAUUUGAUUCUGGCCAGCCAUCCAGCUGGAGUGCACACCCUUGCAUCUGGGAGUGGCCAUGACACUCAUUUCUAGCCAAUGGAAUGUAAGUAGAUUUGAUGAUUGCAACUUCCAGGUCAGGUCCUCAAAAAGGGAAACAACUUACUUACUGCAUCCUACCAUUUUCCUUACUCAUGGGCUUUGAGUCACCUCCACCCUGUAGCAGAUGGCACACCCUGGUGCAGCUGCAGGCCCCAAGACAAAAGGGUGUCCCUGGAUGAAAUGGAACAAAAACACCUACUCACCCAGAACCACCUGCCCACUUUCAGGCUGCUAAGUGAGAAAGAAAUAUGCUUUAUCUUGUUUGAGCUACUGCAUAUUUGGAGUAUUUUUGUGACAGCAACUUAGCCAGUAUUGUAAAGAAACAGCAUUGUAUCUGUCUUAAGAGAACGACACCCUAGUGGCACCAACGCUACUCCUCCAUUCCUCCCCAGGACUACAAGGAGAUAAAGCCCACACUGCAAACCCCAUCAGGCCUGAGAAUUAUACUCAGACCUGAGGCUGGGCAAGGGGAAUAGGCAACUGAGCAAUUGGUAUCAUUUCCCAUUUUAAACAAAUUAAAGAAAAAAACGCAUCUCUCAACCUCACUUUGUCACCUGCCCUUCAGCCGUCACUGGGUUCAUUCCUAACCUUUACAGAUUUGUCCAGGGUGGCUUAUCUUCCUAUCUCACUCUGCAGUCUACUCUCUCACUAGUAUUAUCUCAUGCUUCCUUCUGUCUAGCACUAUUCCAAAAUUCUCAUCCAAAGACCACUUUUUUGGGGUUUUUGUUUGUUUGUUUUUAGAGAGAGACAGGGUCUUGCUUUGUUGCCCAGGCUGGUCUUGAACCCCUGGCUUCAAGUGAUCCUCCUGCCUCAGCCUCUGAAAGUGUUGGGAUUACAGGUGUGAGCCACCACACCUGCUCCAAAAACCAUUUUUUAGUCCUUAUCUUUCUAUACCUCUCAAAAGCUUUUUUUUUUUUAAUUUUUUUUUAUUUUUAGAAACAGGUCUUGCCCUGUCACCCAGGC